ACUUAAAUAGCUUAAAAUUUAGAGCAUAAUAUUGAAGAUAUUAGGGUAAUAAUUAAUUAUUUUUAAGUA
Molecule: transfer RNA, 69 nt
Filed under: Onthophagus haematopus
Lineage: Eukaryota; Metazoa; Arthropoda; Insecta; Coleoptera; Scarabaeidae
Description: tRNA-Phe
Source: RNAcentral